RNAcentral lists this ribosomal RNA (465 nucleotides) under uncultured Klebsiella sp. Its description in RNAcentral is "bacterial SSU rRNA". It matches the Rfam family "Bacterial small subunit ribosomal RNA", at positions 338 to 795 of the family's 1533-position model. Lineage: Bacteria; Pseudomonadati; Pseudomonadota; Gammaproteobacteria; Enterobacterales; Enterobacteriaceae. The record is from RNAcentral.
CCUACGGGAGGCAGCAGUGGGGAAUAUUGCACAAUGGGCGCAAGCCUGAUGCAGCCAUGCCGCGUGUGUGAAGAAGGCCUUCGGGUUGUAAAGCACUUUCAGCGGGGAGGAAGGCGUUAAGGUUAAUAACCUUGUCGAUUGACGUUACCCGCAGAAGAAGCACCGGCUAACUCCGUGCCAGCAGCCGCGGUAAUACGGAGGGUGCAAGCGUUAAUCGGAAUUACUGGGCGUAAAGCGCACGCAGGCGGUCUGUCAAGUCGGAUGUGAAAUCCCCGGGCUCAACCUGGGAACUGCAUUCGAAACUGGCAGGCUAGAGUCUUGUAGAGGCGGGUAGAAUUCCAGGUGUAGCGGUGAAAUGCGUAGAGAUCUGGAGGAAUACCGGUGGCGAAGGCGGCCCCCUGGACAAAGACUGACGCUCAGGUGCGAAAGCGUGGGGAGCAAACAGGAUUAGAUACCCGGGUAGUC